This 490-nucleotide ribosomal RNA is filed under the name uncultured bacterium. RNAcentral's name for it is "partial 16S ribosomal RNA". It matches the Rfam family "Bacterial small subunit ribosomal RNA", at positions 30 to 507 of the family's 1533-position model. The record is from RNAcentral.
AUUGAACGCUGGCGGCAGGCCUAACACAUGCAAGUCGAAUGGUAACAGGAAACAGCUUGCUGUUUCGCUGACGAGUGGCGGACGGGUGAGUAAUGUCUGGGAAACUGCCUGAUGGAGGGGGAUAACUACUGGAAACGGUAGCUAAUACCGCAUAACGUCGCAAGACCAAAGAGGGGGACCUUCGGGCCUCUUGCCAUCAGAUGUGCCCAGAUGGGAUUAGCUAGUAGGUGGGGUAACGGCUCACCUAGGCGACGAUCCCUAGCUGGUCUGAGAGGAUGACCAGCCACACUGGAACUGAGACACGGUCCAGACUCCUACGGGAGGCAGCAGUGGGGAAUAUUGCACAAUGGGCGCAAGCCUGAUGCAGCCAUGCCGAGUGUAUGAAGAAGGCCUUCGGGUUGUAAAGUACUUUCAGCGGGGAGGAAGGGAGUAAAGUUAAUACCUUUGCUCAUUGACGUUACCCGCAGAAGAAGCACCGGCUAACUCCGUG